CAGCCGCCGCGGUAACACGAGGGGGGCUAGCGUUGCUCGGAAUCACUGGGCGUAAAGGGUGCGUAGGCGGGUCUUUAAGUCAGGGGUGAAAUCCUGGAGCUCAACUCCAGAACUGCCUUUGAUACUGAAGAUCUUGAGUUCGGGAGAGGUGAGUGGAACUGCGAGUGUAGAGGUGAAAUUCGUAGAUAUUCGCAAGAACACCAGUGGCGAAGGCGGCUCACUGGCCCGAUACUGACGCUGAGGCACGAAAGCGUGGGGAGCAAACAGGAUUAGAUACCCGCGUAGUCCCUGUCUCUUAUAC
RNAcentral lists this ribosomal RNA (301 nucleotides) under uncultured bacterium. Its description in RNAcentral is "partial 16S ribosomal RNA". It matches the Rfam family "Bacterial small subunit ribosomal RNA", at positions 509 to 807 of the family's 1533-position model. The record is from RNAcentral.